This 492-nucleotide ribosomal RNA is filed under the name Bacillus subtilis. Its description in RNAcentral is "bacterial SSU rRNA". It matches the Rfam family "Bacterial small subunit ribosomal RNA", at positions 1 to 475 of the family's 1533-position model. The record is from RNAcentral. Lineage: Bacteria; Bacillati; Bacillota; Bacilli; Caryophanales; Bacillaceae.
UUUGGAGAAAAUUGAUCCUGGCUCAGGACGAACGCUGGCGGCGUGCCUAAUACAUGCAAGUCGAGCGGACAGAUGGGAGCUUGCUCCCUGAUGUUAGCGGCGGACGGGUGAGUAACACGUGGGUAACCUGCCUGUAAGACUGGGAUAACUCCGGGAAACCGGGGCUAAUACCGGAUGCUUGUUUGAACCGCAUGGUUCAAACAUAAAAGGUGGCUUCGGCUACCACUUACAGAUGGACCCGCGGCGCAUUAGCUAGUUGGUGAGGUAAUGGCUCACCAAGGCAACGAUGCGUAGCCGACCUGAGAGGGUGAUCGGCCACACUGGGACUGAGACACGGCCCAGACUCCUACCCCCCGCCCGCAGUAGGGAAUCUUCCGCAAUGGACGAAAGUCUGACGGAGCAACGCCGCGUGAGUGAUGAAGGUUUUCGGAUCGUAAAGCUCUGUUGUUAGGGAAGAACAAGUACCGUUCGAAUAGGGCGGUACCUCGACGG